CCGGAAAUGUGCCCGAAUCUUUAAGGAUUACUUUGAUAGAGUAACUUACAGGAGUUAAAAUCUCCUCAUUUCC
RNAcentral lists this transfer RNA (73 nucleotides) under Madascincus polleni. RNAcentral describes it as "tRNA-Ile". It matches the Rfam family "tRNA". Rfam says of the family: Transfer RNA (tRNA) molecules are approximately 80 nucleotides in length. The record is from RNAcentral. Lineage: Eukaryota; Metazoa; Chordata; Lepidosauria; Squamata; Scincidae.